Triticum aestivum (bread wheat) is the source of this 3555-nucleotide long non-coding RNA. RefSeq lists it as uncharacterized. Lineage: Eukaryota; Viridiplantae; Streptophyta; Magnoliopsida; Poales; Poaceae. The transcript is spliced from 10 exons. The record is from RefSeq and is a predicted model, not a curated record.
AGGAAAGGGAGGACAAAAGGUAGCGAUGCCCGUGAGCCGUGACCUAACCCGCGCCUCCUCUCCUGCCACCGCCGCUUCCUCCUCUCCUUUCCUCGAUGUCGCCAGGGCCUCGCCCCCACCGGCCAAAUCCUCUCCUUCCUCGAGCCCCGCGUCCCCCUCCAGCUCCCGUAUGCAUCUCUCCUCCUCCCAUGCGCUCCCCUGUCCCAUCCAUGCCCAGCGGGACGGUCGCAGUAGUGGCGAGCAGCGGCGGGAGUAGGGGCAGGGUCAAGGCAGGUGUUGACGGCAUGGAUGCAGACGACGGUGGUCAUCGACGUGGGCCCGGCGUGCGUAGCGGCGGACGGAAGGGCAGCAGUGGCCUGUGGGGUGUCGACCGGAACGGCAAUGACCUCCAUGGAAGAGAAGGGCCCGGCAGGCUCGUGCAGGCGGGAGAAGCUGGGGGCGCUCGUCCAUUGGGCAGAUGGCGGCCAUCCAAGUUUCUUCAAUCGAUCUGGACAGGGUCAUGGCAGCGUACGCGAGGGUUGGAGGCGAGCGACCCUCUAGAGCCGCGCACGUCGAGAGGUAGCGGCCGUGCCCCUCCUCCUUCCCUUCUCUUCUCCCCUCCUCCUCUCCAAUCUAGGCUGUCGUCCUCUCACAUCUUCCUCUUCCAGUUUUUUAAACCUAAUUUGAUUUCUCAAUUUCUGGUUACUUGUGAAGAGUAGAAGAAUUUUGAUGAAGAACAGUGUGAAUUCUCUCUCUCUCUCUCUCUCUCUCUCUCUCUCUCUCUCAAUACAAUCAUGUUCGUUCCUGCAUUUUGAUGUUUGAUUUUUUCUGUGUAAUAGAUCACAUGGCAUGAUUUUAUACUCCUAUUAACUACUGACAAAAGCUAGAUUUGUAAAUGAAGGUCUCAAAAGUGUUUGUUUUUACCUUUGGUCAGACCAGUACAUGGUGUUGGUCAUGUAGAAGAUGUUGGUCAUGCCUCUGUAUGAGCUAGCUGUAAUAUUUUUCCACAGAAUAUGAUGAUUCAUGUUCAUCUUAGAUAUGGUUGUUUUCACCAUACCAAAGUACAUGGAAAUCUAGGCUUGCAGAUUAAUACAACUCAGAUGCUUUGUUUUGGGGAGGAGGUAGAAAUCAGUGGUUGUGCUUAAGCUUUUGUUCUUUAUUUACCUUUGAGGCAUAAAUUCAAAUGAUUAGUAUAUGCAUGGUAAUUUUUGUGCUUUUGUCAACCACUAGAGGACCGUGUGGCAACUAAUUUAUGCUUGAUUAUCUCCUCCUUUUCAUUCCCGACGUUUAGCUCUUGCCCUUGAUCACUUGAAAGGAGCUCUUCCUCGGCCUCCGCCUGGGCGCGACCUGCACUGUCAGUAUGUAUCUUGUGGCCAUGCCAAAAAUAAACACUUAAUAAAAUUUCUGUUUUUAACUAAUCCCUCUUCCGUUUCAGUCAUGUUCAAGUCUGAAUGCCUUUUCUCCUAUAUAUAUAUUUAUAUAUAUAUAUAUAUGUGUGUUACAUCAGGUGAUGACAUAAUUUAGUUAAUGGCAUUAUGGCAGGACUCAUGUUGUCAUUGGUUACAAUGGUGGCUCAUGAAGUUCAAAAAAUGUGUUCUUUACAGAUUUAAGAUGAUAGAAAUUCAGAAUAGGUAAGACAAUAAGCCAUGUUUAUUCUUUGAUGCUCUAGCUGUCAUAUGUCGCAUAGUUUUUUCCGCCCCACAUACUACUGGCCGCCUCUAUGUUGUUUUAUUAGAUCCAUCUCCAUGAGCUUUGUUAUUUAUAGUGGAUCUGUUUAUUAUUUUCGGUCCAGCUUAGGGUAAGCAUUAUGAAUGACAUGCUGUUUUCAUCCUUUUGUUGUCAAUAAUUGAUGUGGGUAUGCUUUAGUUUUCUCUCCGCGGCCAACUUACUGUAGUUAGUGAAGAAAAAGAUAAUUGAAGGAAGUACAUGCUAUACUACUAUGUUGACUAGAUAAAAAUAUUAUGGAUGGAGUGUUUUAGUUGUGUUCAAACUUCAGGGGAGGAGUACAGCCAGCCAGGUUAGUGUGUACAUUGCUUUUAUAUUUUUAACGGGCUGAUGCGCAUGCAUUCUUUGUGUUUCCCUAAAAUGAGCUAAUUAAUUCACUUAAUUUUCCGUGUGAUUUGCAGCACUGCAAUAGAAGAAAAUGCAGAAAGAAUGAACAAGAAGCUAUAGAUGGAUAUGUCCAGGGUGGCAUGUGAAUGAUCUGUACAACACCAUUGCAAGAGUGACUGAUGGUGCUUAUGAAGGUCCGAGGCGUGCAUAAACUCUUACUCAACCGUGUCGGUCGGGAAUAAGAUGGUAGAGGACCCAAGGUUUCUCAGUAGUGACUCUUCUUCGUUGCCGAGUUCUCAAGGCGCUCUGCCUGGUCAUCAGAAUGGAGCUGCCGAACAUGGGGAGUAGACGUUGCACGACCAAUCCAGUGGAAUGUCCAGAAAGCCAUCAGGGGAGCAGCUCGCUGCUGAGGCUGGUGUGCGCUCUCAGUUCUCUACCCUGUCGUCUCGCUCCCUCUCGCACAACUAGGCACCACAAAGGAGAGUAUGAUACCAGGAUCAACUUAGCCAGGCAAGCUAUGGAGAUGAGCUCAAAUAUCAUCUGGAAGCAGGCUUCUUACUAAGGUUAAAGAACAUGAAGAAGAGAUUGCACUUUUAAGAAGUCAGCUUGCUGACUAUUCAGUGAAGGCAUUUGAUUGGCAGCAACAAGAUUUGGUUGAUGCUGCAUCAAAAGCUUGAGCCUAUAGACAAGACAUCAUCGAAGAGAACAUCCGACUGACAUAUGCGUUGCAGUGCGUCCGGAACCACCAAAAACGCCCACCAUGAAGAGUUGGUUAGAUCACGAGGACCUGCAUUUCAAAUGAAUGUGAGUUACAUUCAGAACUCCGUUAUCAUGUAGCAUCCCAUGGGUGAUUUUGGGAAAAUGUAUCCUGGUUACUACACUGGUCACUCAGGCAUGCUCGCACCGGCAGCCCUCAGUGGCGAGACAAAGGAUGCAGCCAUGGGAAGAUGAAUGCACUGGACUUCUUGAGAUCGAAGCCACCAACGGCAUAUGCCAAGGGCGUCCAUGGACAACCUGCCCAAGGUCUGGAUUCACCGAGGAGGUACAACCGGACACUUGGUCGGCUGCCUGCUGAAAGGGGGAGGAGUGAAAAACAAACUGAGGCGGGCGGAGGUAAGCGGCGGUGCAGUCCCCCCGUGGCUUCUUCGUGGCGAGGGCUCAAGGAUUGGGAAGGAGAAGAGGAGGCGGCGGAUUGGGGAGGAGGAGGCGGGGAUUGGGAGAAGAGGAGGCAGGGGAUUGGAGAGGGGGCUCUUGUUGAAUAUACUGUUUUGCGCAGAUUGAGAUGCAUCACAUGAUGUUUUCCUUUUACAUUUAUGAGUAUUAGAGAGUCCUUUCUUUUUCCACAAGGGGCAGUAGCUGUGCCAUUUGAUUCGAAGGACAAAGAGUUGAUCACAAAGGGGUAACAUUUAGGAUAUAUACACAAAAGAGUAUAGAACCAAAUUAUAUGAUGUAAUUGACUACUAUUUCUAUUAACUUCUGUACACAAUGUUCACGAGUUCAUGUAUUAAGUACAUUUUAUUGUCA